This 1425-nucleotide ribosomal RNA is filed under the name metagenome. RNAcentral describes it as "bacterial SSU rRNA". It matches the Rfam family "Bacterial small subunit ribosomal RNA". The record is from RNAcentral.
GCAGUAAAAUGGCGCACGGGUCCGUAACACGUGGGCAAUCUACUUCCGGGCAAGGGACAACCUGUCGAAAGACGGGCUAAUACCUUAUAAGACCACGAGGACUUCGGUUCUUGGGGUCAAAGGUGGCCUCUAUUUAUAAGCUAUCACCUGGAAAUGAGCCUGCCACCAUCAGCUUGUUGGUAGGGUAAUGGCCUACCAAGGCUAAGACGGUUAGCUGGUCUGAGAGGACGACCAGCGACACUGGAACUGAGACACGGUCCAGACUCCUACGGGAGGCAGCAGUGGGGAAUUUUGGACAAUGGGCGAAAGCCUGAUCCAGCAACGCCGCGUGAGUGAUGAAGGCCUUCGGGUCGUAAAGCUCUGUCGGAGGGAACGAAUAAGGGACACCUAAUACGUGUCCUGAUGACGGUACUCUCAAAGGAAGCAACGGCUAACUCUGUGCCAGCAGCCGCGGUAAUACAGAGGUUGCAAGCGUUGUUCGGAAUUACUGGGCGUAAAGGGCGUGUAGGCGGUCGAAUAUGUCCGAUGUGAAAGCCCUCGGCUUAACCGGGGAAGUGCAUUGGAAACUAUUUGACUGGAGUGCAGAAGAGGAUAGCAGAAUUCCUAGAGUAGAGGUGAAAUUCGUAGAUACUAGGAGGAAUACCUGAGGCGAAGGCGGCUAUCUGGUCUGUAACUGACGCUGAAACGCGAAAGCAUGGGGAGCAAACAGGAUUAGAUACCCUGGUAGUCCAUGCCGUAAACGAUGUUCACUAGGUGUCGGGAGAUUUGACCCUUUCGGUACCGUAGCUAACGCAUUAAGUGAACCGCCUGGGGAGUACGGUCGCAAGACUAAAACUCAAAAGAAUUGACGGGGGCCCGCACAAGCGGUGGAGUAUGUGGUUUAAUUCGACACACGCGAAGAACCUUACCUGGAUUAGAAAUCAACUGGACGAAUUGCAGAGAUGUGACUCUUCCCCGCAAGGGGACUGGUUGACAGGUGCUGCAUGGCUGUCGUCAGCUCGUGUCGUGAGAUGUUGGGUUAAGUCCCGCAACGAGCGCAACCCCUAUCUCUUGUUGCCAUCAUUAAGUUGGGAACUCUAGAGAGACUGUCGGUGUUAAACCGGAGGAAGGCGGGGAUGACGUCAAGUCCUCAUGGCCCUUGAUGUCCAGGGCUACACACGUACUACAAUGGUCGGUACAAACCGCUGCCAACUCGCAAGAGGGAGCAAACCGGAAAAAACCGGCCUCAGUUCGGAUUGAGGGCUGCAACUCGCCCUCAUGAAGCUGGAAUCGCUAGUAAUCGCAGAUCAGCAAGCUGCGGUGAAUACGUUCUCGGGCCUUGUACACACCGCCCGUCACACCACGAAAGUCAAUUGGACCAGAAGUUAUAGGGUCUCCCUAUGCCCAAGGUCUGAUUGGUGAUUGGGGUGAAGUCGUAACAAGGUA